Molecule: ribosomal RNA, 542 nt
Filed under: Penicillium sp.
Lineage: Eukaryota; Fungi; Ascomycota; Eurotiomycetes; Eurotiales; Aspergillaceae
Description: eukaryotic LSU rRNA
Rfam family: 5.8S ribosomal RNA (bases 181-334)
Source: RNAcentral
UCAUUACCGAGUGAGGGCCCUCUGGGUCCAACCUCCCACCCGUGUUUAUCGUACCUUGUUGCUUCGGCGGGCCCGCCUCACGGCCGCCGGGGGGCUUCUGCCCUCUGGCCCGCGCCCGCCGAAGACACCAUUGAACGCUGUCUGAAGAUUGCAGUCUGAGCAAUUAGCUAAAUAAGUUAAAACUUUCAACAACGGAUCUCUUGGUUCCGGCAUCGAUGAAGAACGCAGCGAAAUGCGAUACGUAAUGUGAAUUGCAGAAUUCAGUGAAUCAUCGAGUCUUUGAACGCACAUUGCGCCCCCUGGUAUUCCGGGGGGCAUGCCUGUCCGAGCGUCAUUGCUGCCCUCAAGCACGGCUUGUGUGUUGGGCCUCCGUCCUCCUUCCGGGGGGACGGGCCCGAAAGGCAGCGGCGGCACCGCGUCCGGUCCUCGAGCGUAUGGGGCUUCGUCACCCGCUCUUGUAGGCCCGGCCGGCGCUUGCCGACACAUCAAUCUUUUUUCCAGGUUGACCUCGGAUCAGGUAGGGAUACCCGCUGAACUUAAGC